GACGAACGCUGGCGGCGUGCUUAACACAUGCAAGUCGAACGGAAAGGCCCUGCUUUUGUGGGGUGCUCGAGUGGCGAACGGGUGAGUAACACGUGAGUAACCUGCCCUUGACUUUGGGAUAACUUCAGGAAACUGGGGCUAAUACCGGAUAGGAGCUCCUGCUGCAUGGUGGGGGUUGGAAAGUUUCGGCGGUUGGGGAUGGACUCGCGGCUUAUCAGCUUGUUGGUGGGGUAGUGGCUUACCAAGGCUUUGACGGGUAGCCGGCCUGAGAGGGUGACCGGCCACAUUGGGACUGAGAUACGGCCCAGACUCCUACGGGAGGCAGCAGUGGGGAAUAUUGCACAAUGGGCGGAAGCCUGAUGCAGCAACGCCGCGUGCGGGAUGACGGCCUUCGGGUUGUAAACCGCUUUCGCCUGUGACGAAGCGUGAGUGACGGUAAUGGGUAAAGAAGCACCGGCUAACUACGUGCCAGCAGCCGCGGUGAUACGUAGGGUGCGAGCGUUGUCCGGAUUUAUUGGGCGUAAAGGGCUCGUAGGUGGUUGAUCGCGUCGGAAGUGUAAUCUUGGGGCUUAACCCUGAGCGUGCUUUCGAUACGGGUUGACUUGAGGAAGGUAGGGGAGAAUGGAAUUCCUGGUGGAGCGGUGGAAUGCGCAGAUAUCAGGAGGAACACCAGUGGCGAAGGCGGUUCUCUGGGCCUUUCCUGACGCUGAGGAGCGAAAGCGUGGGGAGCGAACAGGCUUAGAUACCCUGGUAGUCCACGCUGUAAACGGUGGGUACUAGGUGUGGGGUCCAUUCCACGGGUUCCGUGCCGUAGCUAACGCUUUAAGUACCCCGCCUGGGGAGUACGGCCGCAAGGCUAAAACUCAAAGGAAUUGACGGGGCCCCGCACAAGCGGCGGAGCAUGCGGAUUAAUUCGAUGCAACGCGUAGAACCUUACCUGGGUUUGACAUGGAUCGGGAGUGCUCAGAGAUGGGUGUGCCUCUUUUGGGGUCGGUUCACAGGUGGUGCAUGCCUGUCGUCAGCUCGUGUCGUGAGAUGUUGGGUUAAGUCCCGCAACGAGCGCAACCCCUGUUCACUGUUGCCAGCACGUUAUGGUGGGGACUCAGUGGAGACCGCCGGGGUCAACUCGGAGGAAGGUGGGGAUGACGUCAAGUCCUCAUGCCCCUUAUGUCCAGGGCUUCACGCAUGCUACAAUGGCUGGUACAGAGAGUGGCGAGCCUGUGAGGGUGAGCGAAUCUCGGAAAGCCGGUCUCAGUUCGGAUUGGGGUCUGCAACUCGACCUCAUGAAGUCGGAGUCGCUAGUAAUCGCAGAUCAGCAACGCUGCGGUGAAUACGUUCCCGGG
This 1343-nucleotide ribosomal RNA is filed under the name uncultured bacterium. Its description in RNAcentral is "16S ribosomal RNA". It matches the Rfam family "Bacterial small subunit ribosomal RNA", at positions 28 to 1378 of the family's 1533-position model. The record is from RNAcentral.